GACGAACGCUGGCGGCGUGCUUAACACAUGCAAGUCGAACGGAAAGGCCCUGCUUUUGUGGGGUGCUCGAGUGGCGAACGGGUAAGUAACACGUGAGUAACCUGCCCUUGACUUUGGGAUAACUUCAGGAAACUGGGGCUAAUACCGGAUAGGAGCUCCUGCUGCAUGGUGGAGGUUGGAAAGUUUCGGCGGUUGGGGAUGGACUCGCGGCUUAUCAGCUUGUUGGUGGGGUAGUGGCUUACCAAGGCUUUGACGGGUAGCCGGCCUGAGAGGGUGACCGGCCACAUUGGGACUGAGAUACGGCCCAGACUCCUACGGGAGGCAGCAGUGGGGAAUAUUGCACAAUGGGCGGAAGCCUGAUGCAGCAACGCCGCGUGCGGGAUGACGGCCUUCGGGUUGUAAACCGCUUUCGCCUGUGACGAAGCGUGAGUGACGGUAAUGGGUAAAGGAGCACCGGCUAACUACGUG
RNAcentral lists this ribosomal RNA (468 nucleotides) under uncultured bacterium. Its description in RNAcentral is "partial 16S ribosomal RNA". It matches the Rfam family "Bacterial small subunit ribosomal RNA", at positions 28 to 507 of the family's 1533-position model. The record is from RNAcentral.